GGGUGAGUAACGCGUGAGGAACCUGCCUUUCAGAGGGGGACAACAGUUGGAAACGACUGCUAAUACCGCAUGAUACAUUUGGGUGGCAUCAUCUGAAUGUCAAAGAUUUAUCGCUGAAAGAUGGCCUCGCGUCUGAUUAGCUAGUUGGUGAGGUAACGGCCCACCAAGGCGACGAUCAGUAGCCGGACUGAGAGGUUGACCGGCCACAUUGGGACUGAGAUACGGCCCAGACUCCUACGGGAGGCAGCAGUGGGGAAUAUUGGGCAAUGGGCGCAAGCCUGACCCAGCAACGCCGCGUGAAGGAAGAAGGCUUUCGGGUUGUAAACUUCUUUUAAGAGGGAAGAGCAGAAGACUGUACCUCUAGAAUAAGCCACGGCUAACUACGUGCCAGCAGCCGCGGUAAUACGUAGGUGGCAAGCGUUGUCCGGAUUUACUGGGUGUAAAGGGCGUGCAGCCGGGAAUGCAAGUCAGAUGUGAAAUCCAUGGGCUUAACCCAUGAACUGCAUUUGAAACUGUAUUUCUUGAGUACUGGAGAGGCAAUCGGAAUUCCUAGUGUAGCGGUGAAAUGCGUAGAUAUUAGGAGGAACACCAGUGGCGAAGGCGGAUUGCUGGACAGCAACUGACGGUGAGGCGCGAAAGUGUGGGGAGCAAACAGGAUUAGAUACCCUGGUAGUCCACACUGUAAACGAUGAAUACUAGGUGUGCGGGGACU
This 712-nucleotide ribosomal RNA is filed under the name uncultured bacterium. Its description in RNAcentral is "bacterial SSU rRNA". It matches the Rfam family "Bacterial small subunit ribosomal RNA", at positions 104 to 832 of the family's 1533-position model. The record is from RNAcentral.